This 230-nucleotide ribosomal RNA is filed under the name uncultured bacterium. RNAcentral's name for it is "partial 16S ribosomal RNA". It matches the Rfam family "Bacterial small subunit ribosomal RNA", at positions 562 to 791 of the family's 1533-position model. The record is from RNAcentral.
AAAGGGUGCGUAGGCGGCCUGUUAAGUCAGGGGUGAAAGACGGUAGCUCAACUAUCGCAGUGCCCUUGAUACUGAUGGGCUUGAAUGGACUAGAGGUAGGCGGAAUGAGACAAGUAGCGGUGAAAUGCAUAGAUAUGUCUCAGAACACCGAUUGCGAAGGCAGCUUACUAUGGUCCUAUUGACGCUGAGGCACGAAAGCGUGGGGAUCAAACAGGAUUAGAUACCCGUGU